RNAcentral lists this transfer RNA (73 nucleotides) under Micromonospora pisi. RNAcentral's name for it is "Micromonospora sp. GUI15 tRNA". It matches the Rfam family "tRNA". Rfam says of the family: Transfer RNA (tRNA) molecules are approximately 80 nucleotides in length. Their secondary structure includes four short double-helical elements and three loops (D, anti-codon, and T loops). Lineage: Bacteria; Bacillati; Actinomycetota; Actinomycetes; Micromonosporales; Micromonosporaceae. The record is from Rfam by way of RNAcentral.
GCCCUCGUAGCUCAGUGGAUAGAGCACCGGCUUCCGGAGCCGGGGGUCGGAGGUUCGAAUCCUCUCGGGGGCA